AGUGAACGCUGGCGGUAGGCCUAACACAUGCAAGUCGAACGGCAGCACAGUAAGAGCUUGCUCUUACGGGUGGCGAGUGGCGGACGGGUGAGGAAUACAUCGGAAUCUACUUUUUCGUGGGGGAUAACGUAGGGAAACUUACGCUAAUACCGCAUACGACCUACGGGUGAAGGCAAGGGAUCUUCGGACCUUGCGCGAUUGAAUGAGCCGAUGUCGGAUUAGCUAGUUGGCGGGGUAAAGGCCCACCAAGGCGACGAUCCGUAGCUGGUCUGAGAGGAUGAUCAGCCACACUGGAACUGAGACACGGUCCAGACUCCUACGGGAGGCAGCAGUGGGGAAUAUUGGACAAUGGGCGCAAGCCUGAUCCAGCCAUACCGCGUGGGUGAAGAAGGCCUUCGGGUUGUAAAGCCCUUUUGUUGGGAAAGAAAAGCAGCAGGUUAAUACCCCGCUGUUCUGACGGUACCCAAAGAAUAAGCACCGGCUAACUUCGUG
Molecule: ribosomal RNA, 492 nt
Filed under: uncultured bacterium
Lineage: Bacteria
Description: partial 16S ribosomal RNA
Rfam family: Bacterial small subunit ribosomal RNA
Source: RNAcentral